UACGUAGGGCGCAAGCGUUGUCCGGAAUUAUUGGGCGUAAAGAGCUCGUAGGUGGCUUGUCGCGUCGGAUGUGAAAGACUCGGGCUUAACUCGGGUUCUGCAUUCGAUACGGGCUGGCUAGAGGUAGGUAGGGGAGAACGGAAUUCCUGGUGUAGCGGUGAAAUGCGCAGAUAUCAGGAGGAACACCGGUGGCGAAGGCGGUUCUCUGGGCCUUACCUGACGCUGAGGAGCGAAAGCGUGGGGAGCGAACAGGAUUAGAUACCCUGGUAGUCCACGCUGUAAACGUUGGGCGCUAGGUGUGGGGGGCUUCCACGUCCUCCGUGCCGUAGCUAACGCAUUAAGCGCCCCGCCUGGGGAGUACGGCCGCAAGGCUAAA
RNAcentral lists this ribosomal RNA (376 nucleotides) under uncultured bacterium. RNAcentral's name for it is "bacterial SSU rRNA". It matches the Rfam family "Bacterial small subunit ribosomal RNA", at positions 524 to 898 of the family's 1533-position model. The record is from RNAcentral.